UACGAAGGGGGCUAGCGUUGCUCGGAAUCACUGGGCGUAAAGCGCACGUAGGCGGCUUCUUAAGUCAGGGGUGAAAUCCUGGAGCUCAACUCCAGAACUGCCUUUGAUACUGGGAAGCUUGAGUAGGCUAGAGGUGAGCAGAACUGAUGGUGGAGCGGUGAAAUGCGUUGAUAUCAUCUGGAAUACCGGAGGCGAAGGCGGCUCACUGGGGGUUUUCUGACGCUGAGGAACGAAAGCCAGGGGAGCGAACGGG
This 253-nucleotide ribosomal RNA is filed under the name uncultured bacterium. Its description in RNAcentral is "partial 16S ribosomal RNA". It matches the Rfam family "Bacterial small subunit ribosomal RNA", at positions 524 to 776 of the family's 1533-position model. The record is from RNAcentral.